CUUAUCAAGAGCUGCUGAGGGAUCGGCCCGAUGAAGCACGGCAACCUGCGGAUAGCCGCAAGGUGCCAAUUCCGACGAUCAGUUUUCUGGUCGAUAGAUGAGG
RNAcentral lists this non-coding RNA (103 nucleotides) under bovine gut metagenome. RNAcentral's name for it is "SAM riboswitch (S box leader)". It matches the Rfam family "SAM riboswitch aptamer (S box leader)". From Rfam's summary of the family: The SAM riboswitch is found upstream of a number of genes which code for proteins involved in methionine or cysteine biosynthesis in Gram-positive bacteria. The SAM riboswitch acts at the level of transcription termination control. The record is from RNAcentral.